Molecule: long non-coding RNA, 2141 nt
Organism: Salvelinus fontinalis (brook trout)
Lineage: Eukaryota; Metazoa; Chordata; Actinopteri; Salmoniformes; Salmonidae
Exons: 2
Source: RefSeq, a predicted model, not a curated record
AGAUGCGCAGUAUCAUCAGCGUCUCUGUCCCUGUUUGGUCAAAGGAGAGAACUCGACGAAGGAUUCAUUGGGGCAUACACUAAACAUCCACCUUUUCAACUAGAGGUCCGGUCACAAAGGCUCCUCGUCUGCAACUGUGAGAGAAGGCCCCCCACUUAGUGUAUUUGACAAGCUGAGUUGGACACUCAGUAUGACAGGGUGUCAGUUUGUCAAAUACCCCAAGUGAGGGGUCACUUGUCUGCUGAGCAUCUCCCACCAGACUGACUUCAAAGAAGAUCACUUCAUAAACCUUCAAGUGACUUUCACUGUUACCCCGUUAGACUUUCUCAGGCAAAACAUUUGAUUGUGUGAAAAUGUACUGUGAUAGUGUACAUGAUCCUGCACUGUCACUAAUGUCUCAUGUAUUCGUGUAAGUUUGUAUGAUGACACUUGGUACACUGUGUAACAAAUGUGUGUCCCUGUAUUAAAUACUGCAUAAGUACUGGGUAAACUUGAGGUCCCUAGCAUAUGUAAAGACGAUGUGUAUAGACAAAUACAUAGAAAUGGAAUAGAGAUUGCAUUUCUAUAGGUAACGUUUCAUCAGGUUUCUAAGCACUUUUUGUAUGCCUAAAUUAAGUACAUAAGGGUGACUGACCCACUACCGAUGUCAAGUAAUCACUGGGUGACAGACUGGCACGGUGAGCGAUGGCACAUUGCUCUACAAUGCUCAGCACAAAUUGGUUAUCAUGGAAGAAAUUAAAGGAGAGUUUCUUCUAAUAUGAAACAAAAGGUUGCUUUCAAUUAAGGGAGAUAUAGAGCAGUUGGAGAUAUAUCACGUAUUUAUAGGGCGGCAGGUAUCCUAGAGAUUAGAGCCUUAGACCUUAGCCAACGAGGUGAAAAAUCUGUCGACGUGCCCUUGAGCAAGGCACUUAACCCUAAAUGCUCCAGGGCUGCUUUUGAUAAUGGCAGACCUUGGCUGUGACCACACUCUAAGGGUGUUUCAGGGAGAGAUGGUAUAUGCACAUUUACAAUUCACACAUGCAUAUUAACGUGUGAAAUUAAUGUGUGAAAUAGGACAAAUAUAAGCACACACCAAAUUUAUAUUUAAUUUGCAAUCUAUGCUUUUACAAUGCCUAUUAUUAUUAUGUUCAAUAACCUGCCUUUGGAUACUUCUGUAAAAUACCACCCUUUAUCUGUCAGACCCACAUGCCUUCCUGUGCUCACAAAGCCACAUGCGCUUGAGUAAGAGCGGAUGUCUGUACUGUCUUGUGAUUAGAUAGCAGUGUUUGACUCAUAUACUGCAUAGCAACGGCAGUCAAUAAAUAUGGAUCGAUUGACUGAUUUAUUUUGAAAGAAAUAACACAUUAAAGCAAAAUUUACUUGUUUCCAACGUGGUCCCAGAUGGAAUAUACAAAAUGCAGAUAAAACACAUAAAACAACAGUAAUCCCAACAGUACAUGGAGCUAUCUAUCACCCAUCAUUAUCAUUUGUCAUCAACACUGAAUAUCAUUGUAAUCUACGGACAUGGUACCAAAACAACCCAGUAUCACUACACUAUACACUGAGUGUACAAAACAUUAUGACUACCUGCUCUUUCUAUGACAGACUGACCAAGUGAAUCCAGGUGAAUGCUAUGAUCCCCUAUUGAUGUGAAUUUUUACAUCCACUUCAAUCAGCUUGACGAAGGAUUUUUAAGCCUUGAGACAAUUGAGACUUGGAUUGUGUAUGUGUGCCAUUCAUAGGGUGAAUGGGCAAGAAAAAUGUAAGUGCCUUUGAGCAGGGUAUGGUAGUAGAUUCCAGGCUCACCGGAUUGUGUCAAGAACUGUAAUGCUGCUGGGUUUUUCACACCCAACAGUUUCCCAUGUGCAUCAAGAAUGGCCCACCACCCAAAGGACAUCAAGCCAACUUGUGGAAUGCUUUCAACACCUUGUAAAGUCCAUUCCCCGACUAAUUGAGGCUGUUCUGAGGACUCCUGUGUGAACUAGGGCUUUACUACUCCUGUAUGAGGACAAAAAAUGUAACAAAACCAAAUAUGGGACUGAGUCACAAAAUUCAACAACCAAGACCUUACUCAUUAUAGCUUAUUCAGUCAUUAUCAUAAUUUCACUUUAAUGGGAAUAGUGUUGCUUGCCACAUUGUGAUAAAGAAGCAGAUGCAUUCUG